AAACUAAUCCUUUGAUCCAUUUUCUGCAUAAUAUAACAUGUUUUCAGUGUGAAUCAAUCAAAUGUUUUCAGGUUAUGAUAGUUUUGCUUCACCUGCUGCACCUAACUUCUGCACACCUGGAGUGAAAAUUCCCCACAGAAAGACCACUGUUUUAUCAGAGUCUCCAGAAAGUAAACAUUUGGAUGUUCCUAAACACACAACAGAAUUACCUCCACUUGAUACAAAAUCUCAGGAAAUACAACCUCUGCAUGUAAGUGCUCCUAAGAUACUGCCAGAUAAUAAUCUUAUAAAAGACAGUGUUCAACCUGUCCUGGGUUCAGACAAAUAUCUGGAAUGUACUGAAGAACCUCCUCCUCCAGCAAUGCCAGUAUAUGAGGACCUCUUCAGUUCACUAUUACCACCGCCUGAAAUAACUGUGAUUCCAAACAACCUCUUGCAGAUUUUAUCCCGGUACAAUCCAAAUAUAAAAGUACCCAGGUCAGCUGCGAAAGGAACUAAAGAAGAAAAUGCUUCACAAUUUGAAGAAAAGCUAUUUCUUUGUACUGAUAACAAAGA
This 555-nucleotide long non-coding RNA is filed under the name Notechis scutatus (mainland tiger snake). Its description in RNAcentral is "lncRNA (ENSNSUG00000002261.1)". Lineage: Eukaryota; Metazoa; Chordata; Lepidosauria; Squamata; Elapidae. The record is from RNAcentral.